GGUGAGUAACACGUGGAUAACCUACCUAUAAGACUGGGAUAACUUCGGGAAACCGGAGCUAAUACCGGAUAACAUAUUGAACCGCAUGGUUCAAUAGUGAAAGGCGGCUUUGCUGUCACUUAUAGAUGGAUCCGCGCCGUAUUAGCUAGUUGGUAAGGUAACGGCUUACCAAGGCAACGAUACGUAGCCGACCUGAGAGGGUGAUCGGCCACACUGGAACUGAGACACGGUCCAGACUCCUACGGGAGGCAGCAGUAGGGAAUGUUCCGCAAUGGGCGAAAGCCUGACGGAGCAACGCCGCGUGAGUGAUGAAGGUGUUCGGAUCGUAAAACUCUGUUAUCAGGGAAGAACAAAUGUGUAAGUAACUCUGAACAUCUUGACGGUACCUGAUCAGAAAGCCACGGCUAACUACGUGCCAGCAGCCGAGGGAAUACGUAGGUGGCAAGCGUUAUCCGGAAUUAUUGGGCGUAAAGCGCGCGUAGGCGGUUUUUUAAGUCUGAUGUGAAAGCCCACGGCUCAACCGUGGAGGGUCAUUGGAAACUGGAAAACUUGAGUGCAGAAGAGGAAAGUGGAAUUCCAUGUGUAGCGGUGAAAUGCGCA
Molecule: ribosomal RNA, 600 nt
Filed under: Staphylococcus sp. WMB4A
Lineage: Bacteria; Bacillati; Bacillota; Bacilli; Caryophanales; Staphylococcaceae
Description: SSU rRNA
Rfam family: Bacterial small subunit ribosomal RNA
Source: RNAcentral